UGAAUAAUUCUAGUGUUAGGUACCUCUAGAGGUUUAAUAAGGAAUCGGGUGCAAUUCCCGAGCGGUCCGGCCACUGUGAAUGACUAGUUAGUUUCCGAAAUACCACUGGAUUUUUCUGGGAAGGUGGAAACUAAUGUUAUUAGUCUAAGUCAGGAUACUUGCCUAACACUCAACUGAACA
RNAcentral lists this non-coding RNA (180 nucleotides) under Desulforamulus ferrireducens. Lineage: Bacteria; Bacillati; Bacillota; Clostridia; Eubacteriales; Peptococcaceae. The record is from RNAcentral.